Molecule: non-coding RNA, 3374 nt
Organism: Pimephales promelas (fathead minnow)
Lineage: Eukaryota; Metazoa; Chordata; Actinopteri; Cypriniformes; Leuciscidae
Source: RefSeq, a predicted model, not a curated record
UGCAAUCACAGACAGGUGUUCGUCAUUUGAACUUGACCCGCUUACUCACCGCCUGGCUCCGCCCUCGCUCUCCCACCGCAGAUCUCGCCAAACCACUCACCCCUCGCCACAAUCUUCAUUCGAGCCCAGCUGAUGUUCUCUUCCAGUUUUCCGAGCAAUUUCCUGGUACAUGGAGCAGUGGUGGUCAGUGUAGUGAUGUCAUCCAUAACAGCUCUGAGGGAAGGAAGACGUGUGCUUAAGUUAAGCUGCUGCCCACCAACUACCCAUUUUGAUGCCCGGAUGAUGACCUCCAUUGCCAUUGUAAAGGCCAAGGGUGAGAUGGUACGUCCUGCCAUGAUGCCAACAUCCAAUGAUUGCCAAGACGUGGUAAAAUCAGCAGUGGUAAAGCAGAACUGUAGGUCUUGGAAGUAGGAUUUAACCAGGGUUAUAAUGGUGUCCGGAAUGUGAAAGAAGGUGAAGGCAGCCCACAGGAGUGCAUGGGGCACUGACCCAAAAGCGAGGUCCAAAAAGACGACAUGGAGGUCCUUUUUCCUCACCUUUGCGGUCUGGAUCUGGUGCCAGAUCAUGCUAGAGUGUUCCAAGCAUUCAGAACAGCCUGAGAUUCCUGCUUUCUGUACUGAUGUAUCAAUGUACUUAUUCCUUUGAAUGUAUUCAGACAUCCUUUUAGCAAUGAUGCUGAAGAAGAUUUUACCCUCUACAUUUAGAAAGGAUAUUGGCCGAAACUGGCUAAUGUUCUCCGCCUUCUUCUCCUUUGGGAUCAGGACCCCUCCUGCCCUACGCCAUACUUUGGGCACAAUCUUCCUCUGCCACACCGUUCUCAUGAGCUUCCAAAGAACCCUUAGGACACGCGGUGCAUUCUUGUACACCUUGUAUGGGACUCCAUUAGGACCUGGGGCUGAUGCCGCCCUUGCCCGUUGUACUACCUUUUCCACUUCUCUCCAGAUCGGGGGACCAGUCUCCAUCUGAUGUUCUGGUGAGUUGAUUGGUGGGAUGUCUGGUGGAAUGGUCAUCCGUUCAUGCCGUCUUGGAUCAGAGUGUGUCGCUUUCAGGUGAUCUUCCAGGUCUUUCCUUGCUGCCUUCAGAAAUCCACUUUUCUCUCUAGUGAAUAGGCUUUUCAAUCCAGCUGAUCCUCCUUUUUUGCCACAGCCCCUCCCCCUCAACGUGUCCACUGUCCCUGUUUACCAAGAGAAACUGCCUUGAUCCACCUUGCUACUUUUUCCUGUCGGUGUAUUUCCUCCACCACCAAUGUCUUCCUUUCUGAUGCCGUGGCUCUAUUCCAGGCUGGUGGCCUAGUUGUUAACCCAAAGCCUCCCCUUCCCUGCUAGACAUGCCCCACUAUGUCCGCAAGUCUGAGAGUGGCUGCUGCCUCUUCCACUGCACUGGUUGGUGUCCAUUUGCGGCCUGCCACCAAGGUUGGUGCAUUGUUACUCACCAUUGCAUCACAAGAAUCCAUCAGUGUCAUCUGGAGUCUUACUUUAGCACAUUUGAAUUCCUCCGUGAAACUGGUGAGGGGCAGUUUGAGGGCGCUAUCUCCAUAGAGGCCUAUGGUGGUUAGGCAUUGAGGCACUCCAAGCCAUUUCUUGAUGCAGCCUGUGAUUCCUCUUUCCAACUUCUCCACUGUUGAGAUUGGGACCUCAAAAAUGGCAAGUGGCCACAGCUCUCGGGGAAGAAGGCCAAACUGUAAACACCAGGCCUUCAGUCUUCCAGGGAGCUGAGUGUUGUUGAUGGCCUGGAGCCCACUUCUGAUUUCUUUUUGCAGCUGCUGUACCUGAUCUUUAUCCUUCAGGCUGGCAUCAUACCACCUUCCAAGGCUCUUAACAGGCUGGUCAGACACUGUUGGGAUAGGCUCCUCUCCAAUGAAGAAUCUGUAGUUGGAGAGCACUCCCUUGACAAUGGAGAUGCUACGUGACUGAUGGCUUUAUCUUCAUUCGAGCCCAGCUGAUGUUCUCUUCCAGUUUUCCGAGCAGUUUCCUGGUACAUGGAGCAGUGGUGGUCAGUGUAGUGAUGUCAUCCAUAAAGGCUCUGAGGGGAGGAAGACGUGUGCCCAAGUUAAGCUGCUGCCCACCAACUACCCAUUUUGAUGCCCGGAUGAUGACCUCCAUUGCCAUUGUAAAGGCUAAGGGUGAGAUGGUACGUCCUGCCAUGAUGCCAACCUCCAAUGAUUGCCAAGACGUGGUAAAAUCAGCUGUGGUAAAGCAGAACUGCAGGUCUUGGAAGUAGGAUUUAACCAGGGUUAUAAUGGUGUCCGGAAUGUGAAAGAAGGUGAAGGCAGCCCACAGGAGUUCAUGGGGCACUGACCCAAAAGCGAGGUCCAAAAAGAUGACAUGGAGGUCCUUUUUCCUCACCUUUGCGGUCUGGAUCUGGUGCCAGAUCAUGCUAGAGUGUUCCAAGCAUCCAGAACAGCCUGAGAUUCCUGCUUUCUGUACUGAUGUAUCAAUGUACUUAUUCCUUUGAAUGUAUUCAGACAUCCUUUUAGCAAUGAUGCUGAAGAAGAUUUUACCCUCUACAUUUAGAAAGGAUAUUGGCCGAAACUGGCUAAUGUUCUCCGCCUUCUUAUCCUUUGGGAUCAGGACCCCUCCUGCCCUACGCCAUACUUUGGGCACAAUCUUCCUCUGCCACACCGUUCUCAUGAGCUUCCAAAGAACCCUUAGGACACGCGGUGCAUUCUUGUACACCUUGUAUGGGACUCCAUUAGGACCUGGGGCUGAUGCCGCCCUUGCCCGUUGUACUACCUUUUCCACUUCUCUCCAGGUCGGAGGACCAGUCUGCAUCUGAUGUUCUGGUAAGUUGAUUGGUGGGAUGUCUGGUGGAAUGGUCAUCCGUUCAUGCCGUCUUGGAUCAGAGUGUGUCGCUUUCAGGUGAUCUUCCAGGUCUUUCCUUGCUGCCUUCAGAAAUCCACUUUUCUCUCUAGUGAAGAGGCUUUUCAAAAACUUGAAGGGGUCUUUAUAGAACUGUGUUCUAGAUCUUUCUUUUUUUCUCUGUUUUUCCACAGGUUUUUUUGCUCUUUGGAGGGAUGCCAAUCGGUCUUUCAUGUCAGCUUGAAGCACCUCGAUGCCUUCCCUUUCCCCCUCCAAGGCUUUCUUCCACUGCUUCCGAAGUUGCCUCUUUGUUGGAUGUGGUGCUUGAUCUCUUUUUGCCUUCUGGAGGUUGGCGCAGUUGGAGACCUUUUCUGGCUGUAUAAACAGAUACAGGUUUUAUACAGGUCAUCAUCUGAAAAUGAGUCAGAUGAAGUCUGGGAGCCAGUCAGUAGAGGAAGAAAUACUGAGGGUCAUGACAGUACCUCAUCGGAGGAAGGACCCCAUCCUUCACCUUCCCUUCCAUAUAUAUAUAUAUAUAUUCUUAUAUUAAUAUUCUAAUAUUAAAGUGUUUUAAUU